AAAAAGGCACUUUUCAGGGCCACACAAAUCUAAUAAAAUAGAAAU
Stegodyphus mimosarum is the source of this 45-nucleotide non-coding RNA. The record is from Rfam. Lineage: Eukaryota; Metazoa; Arthropoda; Arachnida; Araneae; Eresidae.